UGUCAGCAGAUGAGACGUAAAACAGUCUGGACUUACCAUAAAUCAGAGGGGCGACCUCGUAAAAAGCGUA
RNAcentral lists this non-coding RNA (70 nucleotides) under unclassified sequences. RNAcentral describes it as "GP20-b RNA". It matches the Rfam family "GP20-b RNA". The record is from RNAcentral.